UACAGAGGUGCCAAGCGUUAGGCGGAAUCACUGGGCGUAAAGCGCGCGCAGGCGGUUUCUUAAGUCUGAUGUGAAAGCCCACGGCUCAACCGUGGAGGGUCAUUGGAAACUGGGAAACUUGAGUGCAGAAGAGAAAAGCGGAAUUCCACGUGUAGCGGUGAAAUGCGUAGAGAUGUGGAGGAACACCAGUGGCGAAGGCGGCUUUUUGGUCUGUAACUGACGCUGAGGCGCGAAAGCGUGGGGAGCAAACAGG
RNAcentral lists this ribosomal RNA (253 nucleotides) under uncultured bacterium. RNAcentral describes it as "partial 16S ribosomal RNA". It matches the Rfam family "Bacterial small subunit ribosomal RNA", at positions 524 to 776 of the family's 1533-position model. The record is from RNAcentral.